UCUCUCCGAAGAACGCCGUCACUAGGUGCUUUUGACUCUCCUCAGUUUCAAUUUCUGGUUUUUGAGAUCAAAAGAGGUCUCUGCAAAAUCCCUUUUGAUGUGCUCAGUCGGGAUUGGCUUUACUCAAUGCUAAAUCAGAACCGUGAAUUUCUAUUGCCACUACACUCGGUUGGUUUGUGAAUGAGGACUCAAAAGGUUGAUGGUUCUUUGUUUGCAUGUUAUCUUGGUCAUAUGCACUAUUUGAUGUUGGAUUAAUCGUGCUAUUGGCUUGAUGCAAGUUAGUUCCUGUUAGCAAGUCCAUACCAAUUGCAGCCUGUGCUCAGUUGAUGUUGUGAUGCUUUUGCAGCAUGGAGUGUUUAUAUGUUGCAGGUUGUUGUACCUUGCAUUGGUUUUGUUGGCAUAAUGAUGAUGAUAACAUGAUGGUCAGCAGGAAGAACAAGGAAGAUACUGGUACGUGUGGACUUUGCAGUGGUUGUGCAAGACAUAUGUAUGUAUGCAGCAGCAAGCA
Long non-coding RNA from Lathyrus oleraceus (garden pea), 508 nucleotides. RefSeq lists it as uncharacterized. The transcript is spliced from 3 exons. Lineage: Eukaryota; Viridiplantae; Streptophyta; Magnoliopsida; Fabales; Fabaceae. The record is from RefSeq and is a predicted model, not a curated record.